RNAcentral lists this ribosomal RNA (301 nucleotides) under uncultured bacterium. RNAcentral's name for it is "partial 16S ribosomal RNA". It matches the Rfam family "Bacterial small subunit ribosomal RNA", at positions 509 to 807 of the family's 1533-position model. The record is from RNAcentral.
CAGCAGCCGCGGUAAUACGAAGGGGGCUAGCGUUGUACGGAAUUACUGGGCGUAAAGCGCACGUAGGCGGAUAUUUAAGUCAGGGGUGAAAUCCCAGAGCUCAACUCUGGAACGGCCUUUGAUACUGGGUAUCUUGAGUAUGGAAGAGGUGAGUGGAAUUCCGAGUGUAGAGGUGAAAUUCGUAGAUAUUCGGAGGAACACCAGUGGCGAAGGCGGCUCACUGGUCCAUUACUGACGCUGAGGUGCGAAAGCGUGGGGAGCAAACAGGAUUAGAUACCCCCGUAGUCCCUGUCUCUUAUAC